GACGAACGCUGGCGGCGUGCUUAACACAUGCAAGUCGAACGGAAAGGCCCUGCUUUUGUGGGGUGCACGAGUGGCGAACGGGUGAGUAACACGUGAGUAACCUGCCCUUGACUUUGGGAUAACGUCAUGAAACUGGGGCUAAUACCGGAUAGGAGCUCCUGCUGCAUGGUGGGGGUUGGAAAGUUUCGGCGGUUGGGGAUGGACUCGCGGCUUAUCAGCUUGUUGGUGGGGUAGUGGCUUACCAAGGCUUUGACGGGUCGCCGGCCUGAGAGGGUGACCGGCCACACUGGGCCUGAGAUACGGCACAGACUCCUCCGGGAGGCAGCAGUGGGGAAUAUUGCACAAUGGGCGGAAGCCUGAUGCAGCAACGCCGUGUGCGGGAUGACGGCCUUCGGGUUGUAUUCCGCUUUCGCCUGUGACGAAGCGUGAGUGACGGUAAUGGGUAAAGAAGCACCGGCUAACUACGUG
Molecule: ribosomal RNA, 468 nt
Filed under: uncultured bacterium
Lineage: Bacteria
Description: partial 16S ribosomal RNA
Rfam family: Bacterial small subunit ribosomal RNA
Source: RNAcentral